Molecule: ribosomal RNA, 403 nt
Filed under: uncultured bacterium
Lineage: Bacteria
Description: bacterial SSU rRNA
Rfam family: Bacterial small subunit ribosomal RNA
Source: RNAcentral
AUUGAACGCUGGCGGCAUGCCUAACACAUGCAAGUCGAACGGCAGCACGGCAGUAGCAAUACUGUGGGUGGCGAGUGGCGGACGGGUGAGGAAUACGUCGGAAUCUGCCCAGUCGUGGGGGAUAACUAGCCGAAGGUUAGCUAAUACCGCAUACGACCGAGAGGUGAAAGCGGGGGACCGGCAAGGCCUCGCGCGAUUGGAUGAGCCGACGUCGGAUUAGCUAGUUGGAGGGGUAAAGGACCCACCAAGGCGACGAUCCGUAGCUGGUCUGAGAGGAUGAUCAGCCACACUGGAACUGAGACACGGUCCAGACUCCUACGGGAGGCAGCAGUGGGGAAUAUUGGACAAUGGGCGCAAGCCUGAUCCAGCAAUGCCGCGUGUGUGAAGAAGGCCUCGGUUGUAA